CGGUAAAGGUAAAGAGAAGUUUAAAGGAACAAACAUUAGAGAGCGUUUUGUCAAUUAAAGUGACUGCUACAGUUACCGAAAUAAGAAAAGGAAUAAUGACUUUAUUAAAAUACGCACUCGACAGAUCAAAUGGUCGUGAUCGGCGCGUAAAAGGCAAUUCACCCGAUGUAUAACAUUCAUACUUUUUCCUAGUUGUUCUGGAACUAUUG
Hydra vulgaris (swiftwater hydra) is the source of this 209-nucleotide non-coding RNA. Lineage: Eukaryota; Metazoa; Cnidaria; Hydrozoa; Anthoathecata; Hydridae. The record is from RefSeq and is a predicted model, not a curated record.